AGUUGUGUUGUUGUUGUGAUGACGGAGUGGAUGUAGCGGCCGGAGAAUUGUCUGUACUGUAACUUUGUUACUCAGUGUUAGAUUAAUAAAUCCUCAAAGAAAGUAAAGCGGACUUUUAUUCACCAACCCCGGGACGAAGGGAAUUAACCCCAAAGUUUACUUAGCCGACAGUACUUUGGCCCUGGAGCAGACAGCAACGCCUCCCCCUGCAAACUCCGACUACGGUCAGAGACGGACCGGCAGGAAAGGUGAACACAAGGCUAACGAAGUUAAUUGUCAACAUUAAUGUGCCUGUCAUGGUAUGAGGCCAGACAUGGCCCGUGCAAAGUCAUGCCACCAGUCUGAGGACAUCACUGGGAAUGGCACAUGGGACACGUGGCUUUCAACUCCAGCGAGCACACGGCACAGGUUGGCGUCACCGUGGGCAAUCAUGGCAAAGUUGACUGGACCACAGCGGAAAAUGAUCCUUCCAGAGAAGAAGUUAUUUACUUCUACAAUGAAUGGAAGAGUUACAACUUCCAGAUGACAGCUCUCCGCUCAUCCUUCUGGGCAACUUAAACAUCCGACAGAACUUAUGUGACCCUACUGCGUUUUAUUUUCUCCUUUAGCUCUCAUUUAAGUAUUAAAAUUCGCUGUAUUUUUGCAAGAGAGGCACCAAUCCUAUUUGAGUGACGUUUCGAUUGUGAAAUUGUAUUGGACCAUAUAGGUCAUCUGCAGAGCGUUGGCCCCUGGCGCAGUAAACCAGGGUUUGAUUCUUGGCAUGCACAAGACUCCUCAUGUGACUUAAAAUGAAUCCAGAAUGCAAUAUUUGUUCAGUAUGCAACGGCAGUGAUUUAUUUAGUCAUGUUUGGUCAUGUUUUGGUUUUUUUACAUGACAAUAUGGUUUGGUACAUGCUGAGUUAAUGAAUAUACAUUCUAAAGUGCAAUGUCCAUAUGUGAAUAAGAGUUGUAUACGUUUAUCAUAGUCAAUAUGGUAUGGAAAUAUCCCUUAUGUAGUUGGUCAAUGGGAACUAUAGUAGGCCGUAAUAACAGCUAAGGUAAUUACAGGUGGAUAUUUCUGUGAAUUAACCUUAAAUGAGACUGCAUUUAUGAUAUCUAAGAUAUACAGAACAAGAAAAAUGCACUGGAUGUGUAUAUGUGUUGAAUCAAUUAUACAGACGCAAACUGGAGAACGAGACAAGUGUUGCUGUGAUACUUAUUGUGGUCAUCGUGCCCGAGACCCGUAACAAUUACUCCGCAGGUCUUUUGCAGCGGGGCAACAGCCCGGCGUCGGUGGAUUCCGUUCGCGAGGCCGCAGAUUCAGGUUUGAAUGGCAGCCCCGAGAGUGAUUUGUUUAGUCUCUUUAGUCUUUUUUGACCCGCGAGCCCGGCCGACCGCCGCCCCACCCCGACGCGCGAGAAUAGGCGAAGGCCCGUUCAUCGCUGCUUGCAGCUUUAAUUUUCUUCUUUUUUUUUCUUCCCCUCAACUCGUUCUACACUAAUCAGAGCUUUUCAUUUGUUAUGGCCCCGCGCCAGCCCCUCCACCGCUGCCUCCAUUAGGGCCAGAUAACGUAUAAAUUCAUUAAAGUCAAAGAGGGACGUUAAAAUGGUCAUUUGUCAGAUCUCCCUUUGUGAGUCCCUAAUGGUGGCACAUGGUUUCGAGGCAUUGAGAUGAUUCUGUUGGGGCUUUUCUUCCUCUCCAGUGCGUUCGGGAGGGGAACGUGGGAACUGGAGAACGGAGCACUUUCAAAUUCAAAUGGUAACACUAUAUUGUUUCAAUUAUUUAAUUGCGAACUUGCGUUGCUCUCUUAGAACAAAAGUCCAAACUAAACAAACCUGUUAUUUUGUUUUCACUUGUAUCCCAUCCUAUUGUUUUGAUGUGUUCUACAUUUUCAUUUCUUUUGUUUCUGCCUAAUUGGAAUGAAAUGUUUUAUUCUGGUGGCUAUCCAAUUCAUCCAUCAACUUCAGAGCCCCCCCCCCCCCCCCAACACACACAUACACACACAGACUCACAGUCAAUGAAGCAACCCUUUGCACUAAUCCCUUUGUAUUCACACCACCAUUCCCACCAAACAAUGUCCUAAAGCCUAAUCCUAAACCCAGCUCUACAGACCUGGGCCACCUGCUAGCAAGUCACAGUUUAGCUAAGAGCUAACGCCAACCUGAGCAACAAAACCGCCUGUUUAAAGACACCUAAGCGCACAUAACCAUGAAUACAAGGAGCAAAACAGGCAUGAAUAUGCAGCAAAAAUGUAUUUUCUCUCCUCCCAUGUUGCCCCCCCCCCCCCCCACCCCCCUCUCUGUUUCUCUCAUUCUCUGUUUCUGUGUCCAUCCUCCUCUGGCUUCAGGAUGGAGAUUCUGGCUGCGUCGUCAUGGGAGACGGCUCCCUCCAUCUGCCUCUGCUGUCAUUAGCCCAUCUUCACUAAGCUUUAUCAGGAGGGGGAACCCCCCCCAAAAUACCCCCCUCCCCCCCCCCCUCACCCUCCUGGACCCUCUUCACUAUUCUGACAACCCCUGCCCCCUGCUCCAUACAUAAGGCUGAGAUGAUAAGUGUUCCCUCUCUUUGUGUCGGGCCGGGACACGACAAUGCCACACAGCACUACAGAACAUCAUCCAUCUCGCGGGUCAUCAAUCUGGGACACAAAAGAUGAAAUGUAGCUCGAACUCCCUUUUUGCAAAGAGGUUUCUCUUUGCUUAGAGGAAGCUCGUCCUCCACCUCUCUCGAUCCUUUUCACUGCUGGAUUACUGGUUCACCAACAAGUUCUUCUGCUUUGCUUUGAAAAAUCCAAUUCAACGCAUUAAGAAGAUAAUAACAGGAAUUGCACAAGUAUCCAGACAUUAUUUCAACAUCCGCAGGGAUAGAUGAACUCUGUUUCAGUUUCUCUGCAGCAAAAAUAUGCAGCCGACGAGGAACGCCAGAUUGAAAACAGGAGGUGGACCUUCCAACAGGCCUCUGCCUGAUUUACGUGAAUGUAUUUGGUGGUAAAUUAAAUGCACUGUGAUACACAAACAGAUAGGAACAUCUACUGUUUCAUUGUAUUCAGGUGAAAUAAAUUACCUUGAUGACAGUGGUGCCCAUGACUUUAGUGUAAUCUGCCAUGAUGUCAUUGUCCCACUCAAUUUAGACCUAAAG
Molecule: long non-coding RNA, 3111 nt
Organism: Pungitius pungitius (ninespine stickleback)
Lineage: Eukaryota; Metazoa; Chordata; Actinopteri; Perciformes; Gasterosteidae
Exons: 3
Source: RefSeq, a predicted model, not a curated record